This is a long non-coding RNA of Pseudophryne corroboree (corroboree frog), 1082 nucleotides long. RefSeq lists it as uncharacterized. The record is from RefSeq and is a predicted model, not a curated record. Lineage: Eukaryota; Metazoa; Chordata; Amphibia; Anura; Myobatrachidae. The transcript has 4 exons.
AGUAAGCAGGCACUUAACAGAGGGGCUGCUCCAAGCAGCCCUGAGAAAAGCUUUUUAUGAGGUAAAAAGUGAAGACUUCAAGGGCAGCAGCGGUGGUAAAUGUCUUGUGACAUUCAGUGCUGCAGCUCCAGCUCUCCCCAGCGGCGCUGUACACUCCCGAGCCCUGGUUGCCGGGUACCUACAGCGGAGGCUCCGGUUUUCUUCAUGUUAGACACACACGGCUGGGGCUCUCCAGGAUCGCGUGGCCGCACUUCGGGAGGUGGUUUGAGGAGGAUUGAAGGACUUCAGUGACACAGAGUUUGAAGUAAUGGAGGAGAGCAUGCAGGUGAUAAGGUUGUGAUCUGAGAGAGGGAUCUUCAUCAGGAAACACUGCGGCAGGACAGCUGUGACAUAUACAUCCCAAAGAUCCAGCAGGAGAGUUGGUCAUGCCCCCCAGGCUCCUUAUAUAACCCUCAUCGUAAAGAACUUGACGCCAAACAGUAUCCAACGUCCGCAUUCCACCUGUAAUACUAAUCACAUCCAUAUGAUGCCAUACAUUACCGAUGCUCACAGCCAUAAAUAUAAAUGCCACAUAUAUUACCUCCUAUUCAUAAAUGGCUGCAUAAUUCCGGAAGUGAAGUACUCAACAGGACAUUUCAAUACAUGUCACUACUGAAAAGUCCAGAAGCAGAGCAUUUUGUCCCUUCUGGAGAGGGUGAUGUUGGGAGGUAAUUGCCUCCUAGACUGGUGCAAUACCAUCUUUUGGGGUCAGCCGCACAGCCUGCCACCGCACACUCCGCGAAGUACAUGGGGUCCGAGAGGCAAGCAGACAACUUUAUCCAGCUGCUCCUAUUCUUUUUUUUAGACACUCCAGUUAUAUUGUAUGGCAUUUCACCAAAUUGCUUUCUGUGUUUUAUGGUGGUUACUGUAACUGCCCAAUCCAUCCCUAAUAUAUCCUAAUCUACAAUCAGUUUAUAUUUCUUAGCAAUAUAGCUAAUGUGGUACCCUAUACCACCAUAGGAUUCCUUGUAUUUCUUAGAAGAAUACUAGAUUUGGUACAUGUUUUAGCUGCAUUAUAAAAUAAAUGUUUAUCUUGCUCUUUA